RNAcentral lists this ribosomal RNA (253 nucleotides) under uncultured bacterium. RNAcentral's name for it is "partial 16S ribosomal RNA". It matches the Rfam family "Bacterial small subunit ribosomal RNA", at positions 524 to 776 of the family's 1533-position model. The record is from RNAcentral.
UACGUAGGCAGCGAGCGUUGUUCGGAGUUACUGGGCGUAAAGCGUGCGUAGACGGUUAUCUAAGUCGGAUGUGAAAGCCCCGGGCUCAACCUGGGAAUUGCAUUCGAGACUGAAUAGCUAGGGUGCGGUAGAGGGAAGCGGAAUUUCCGGUGUAGCGGUGAAAUGCGUAGAUAUCGGAAGGAACAUCAGUGGCGAAAGCGGCUUCCUGGACCAGCACCGACGUUCAGGCACGAAAGCGUGGGGAGCAAACAGG